This 344-nucleotide ribosomal RNA is filed under the name uncultured eukaryote. RNAcentral's name for it is "SSU rRNA". It matches the Rfam family "Eukaryotic small subunit ribosomal RNA", at positions 594 to 945 of the family's 1831-position model. The record is from RNAcentral.
AUAGCGUAUAUUAAAGUUGUUGCAGUUAAAAAGCUCGUAGUUGAAUUUCGGAGGAGAGUUCCUGGUCUGGGUUCGCCUUGUACUGGGAGGCUCGAAUCUUUUUUCUGGGGAAGCGGGGUGUCCUUUACUGGGCGCCUCGGGGAACCAGGACGAUUACCUUGAGAAAAAUAGAGUGUUCAAAGCAGGCUUUUGCUUGAAUACGUUAGCAUGGAAUAAUAAAAUAGGACUUUGGUUCUAUUUUGUUGGUUUUAAGGACCAAUGUCAUGAUGAAUAGGGACAGUUGGGGGCAUUCGUAUUCCGAAGCUAGAGGUGAAAUUCUUGGAUUUUCGGAAGACGAACUACUG